CCCUUAGAUGUUCUGGGCCGCACGCGUGCUACACUGAGUAAAUCAAUGGGUAAGGGAACACGAAAGUGCAACCUAAUCUUGAAAUUUGCUCGUGAUGGGGAUCGACGGUUGCAAUUUUCCGUCGUGAACGAGGAAUACCUUGUAGGCACGUGUCAUCAUCACGCGCCGAAUACGUCCCUGCCCUUUGUACACACCGCCCGUCGCUCCUACCGAUUGAGUGAUCCGGUGAGGCUCUGGGACCUGGACGGAAAGAGCGUUUCGCUUGUUCUGUUUGGGAAACUUGGUCGAACCUUAUCAUUUAGAGGAAGGAGAAGUCGUAACA
Molecule: ribosomal RNA, 322 nt
Filed under: uncultured eukaryote
Lineage: Eukaryota
Description: partial 18S ribosomal RNA
Rfam family: Eukaryotic small subunit ribosomal RNA
Source: RNAcentral